Molecule: transfer RNA, 103 nt
Filed under: Drechmeria coniospora
Lineage: Eukaryota; Fungi; Ascomycota; Sordariomycetes; Hypocreales; Ophiocordycipitaceae
Rfam family: tRNA
About the family: Transfer RNA (tRNA) molecules are approximately 80 nucleotides in length. Their secondary structure includes four short double-helical elements and three loops (D, anti-codon, and T loops). Further hydrogen bonds mediate the characteristic L-shaped molecular structure. tRNAs have two regions of fundamental functional importance: the anti-codon, which is responsible for specific mRNA codon recognition, and the 3' end, to which the tRNAs corresponding amino acid is attached (by aminoacyl-tRNA synthetases). tRNAs cope with the degeneracy of the genetic code in two manners: having more than one tRNA (with a specific anti-codon) for a particular amino acid; and 'wobble' base-pairing, i.e. permitting non-standard base-pairing at the 3rd anti-codon position.
Source: Rfam by way of RNAcentral
GGGCGAAUGGUCUAGUGGUAUGACGCUUUCUUAGCAAGCGCAAUCCAAGUGAUUGCCUGCCUUCCUUUGGAAGAGGUCCGGGGUUCAAUUCCCCGUUUGUCCA